This 477-nucleotide ribosomal RNA is filed under the name uncultured bacterium. RNAcentral's name for it is "bacterial SSU rRNA". It matches the Rfam family "Bacterial small subunit ribosomal RNA", at positions 30 to 507 of the family's 1533-position model. The record is from RNAcentral.
AUUGAACGCUGGCGGAAUGCUUUACACAUGCAAGUCGAACGGUAGAGGGGCAACCCCUUGAGAGUGGCGAACGGGUGAGUAAUAUAUCGGAACGUGCCCAGUCGUGGGGAUAACGUAGCGAAAGUUACGCUAAUACCGCAUACGAUCUAAGGAUGAAAGCGGGGACCGUAAGGCCUCGCGCGAUUGGAGCGGCCGAUAUCAGAUUAGGUAGUUGGUGGGGUAAAGGCUCACCAAGCCAACGAUCUGUAGCUGGUCUGAGAGGACGACCAGCCACACUGGAACUGAGACACGGUCCAGACUCCUACGGGAGGCAGCAGUGGGGAAUUUUGGACAAUGGACGCAAGUCUGAUCCAGCCAUUCCGCGUGCAGGAUGAAGGCCCUCGGGUUGUAAACUGCUUUUGUACGGAACGAAAAAGUUUCUCUUAAUACGAGGGGCUCAUGACGGUACCGUAAGAAUAAGCACCGGCUAACUACGUG